GUUGAUCGGGAAUGUUACAUGACGGAACAAGCGUUGGGAUUCUCAUCGCUGAACAUCUGCGGCUGAUCGUUUCGCAUGUGGUGGGGAAAAUGAGGGUCCAUUGGAACGACGUCGUAUCUAUGGUCUACGUAACCAUGGUUAUCGUAACCAUGGUUAUUGUAACCAUAGUUGGGGUUAUAGUAACUCGGGUUAGCUUCCAUUGAGUAGCUUUGGUACUGCAUCGGUGCUUCGUAGUAUAGUUGUUGGAAUGGAUAUCCGCCGUAAUAUUCAAACUUGUUCACUACAUCCGCCGGUUUUACUCCACCGCCCUCGCCCGCGGCUGCUGGUGCUGCUGCUGGUGCGGGUUUUGAUUCACCCUCCUUUUUUUCCCCACCGCCUUCUUUUUCCUUCUGUUCUCCUCCACCGCCUUCUUU
Molecule: long non-coding RNA, 413 nt
Filed under: Cucumis sativus (cucumber)
Lineage: Eukaryota; Viridiplantae; Streptophyta; Magnoliopsida; Cucurbitales; Cucurbitaceae
Description: long non-coding RNA (CSAT_LNC001233)
Source: RNAcentral